RNAcentral lists this ribosomal RNA (407 nucleotides) under uncultured bacterium. RNAcentral describes it as "partial 16S ribosomal RNA". It matches the Rfam family "Bacterial small subunit ribosomal RNA", at positions 30 to 526 of the family's 1533-position model. The record is from RNAcentral.
AUUGAACGCUGGCGGCAUGCCUAACACAUGCAAGUCGAGCGGAGCGGCGGACGGGUGAGUAAUUCCUAGUAAUCUGCCUGGUAGUUGUGGAUAACGUCCGGAAACGGGCGCUAAUACCGCAUACUAUCAGAUGAGCCUAGGUCGGAUUAGCUAGUUGGUGGGGUAAAGGCCUACCAAGGCGACGAUCCUGAACUGGUCUGAGAGGAUAAUCAGUCACACUGGAACUGAGAGACGGUCAAGACCCCUACGGGAGGCAGCAGUGGGGAAUAUUGGACAAUGGGCGAAAGCCUGCUCCAGCCAUGCGGCGUGUGUGAAGAAGGUGUUGGGAUUGUAAAGCACUUUAAGUUGGGAGGCGUUACCAACAGAAUAAGCGCCGGCUAACUUCGUGCCAGCCGCCGCGGUAAUUC